AGCACUGCGGAGCCAAUCACACAAGAACAGGAUAUGGAGCAGGAAACAGGAAGUGCCAGUCCACAGGGACAUCGCAGGUACCAUAACUGUCCCCUGUGUGUCCCCAAAACCCACACAGGACCCCCCUGUGUGUGUCCCAGCUCUGCUUGUCCAAAACCCACCCCAGGACCCCUCUGUGUGUGUCCCAGAUCUGCCUUUCCAAAACCCACCCCAGGACCCCUCUGUGUGUGUCCCAGAUCUGCCUGUCCAAAACCCACCCCAGGACCCCUCUGUGUGUGUCCCAGAUCUGCCUGUCCAAAACCCAACCCAGGACCCCUCUGUGUGUGUCCCAGAUCUGCCUGUCCAAAACCUCCUCUGUGUGUAGUGCAGUAGAGUGGAAAGUGUCUGUAUCUGUCUGUGUUGGUCAAUGCUGAUCUUGACUGGUUUGUACUAGUACUUGAUGGUGAGAUAUCUGUGAGGGGCUGGUGCUGGGUUGGAUGGCAGGUAUACACUAUCCUGCUCUAUCUCAUGUAUUCUCUAUUCUCUUCCUCCUCUCCUCUAUUCAUCAAAAUAGACCUGUGAUUUAUGGUGACUGCUGCAAAGGCUUCUGGUGAACAGUCUGGCCCGCUCCAAGUACUGCUGACACCCAAUCAGGAGGGGGAAGAGGUCCGGCCAGCCUACCAGGAUGCAACCCUGGGCCCUGGUCAGCCCCCUCUCCACUCAUCCCUCCCACGCCCUCCCACCAACAACCCCCCAGCACAGGUUGAGGAGGGUGAGAAGGGGGAGCGGGUGAGGAGGGGUGAGGAAGGACAGGGGAUGAGCCUGGAGGAGUUGUUACAGGUUGGGGGUGUGAGACCUGUUGGCAGACACCUGGCCAUCUCUCUCCCCUCUCUACCUCUCAGACUCUGGGAUAUAUCUCACACACACACUCCCCCCUCACACACACACUCUUACUCUGACCCCCAACACACACACCCUCCACCCUCACAUACAAACCCUGAGCACCCACACACACACUCUGCUCCUCCCGCAGUCAGCCCCACCCCUCACCCUCCACUGCCUCUCCACAUUGGCCCGAUCAAGGUUCCGCCUCCAACACCGUCACACGUCAUUGGUCCUCCUGGAGCGUGGACCGCCCAGAUGCCGUGGUUACGCCAUAUGACACCCCUCCAGACCGCCGCCUCCCCUUUAGGCCACACCUCCCCUACCGAAACUACAACUCCCAGCCUGCCCCUGGGCAGCAUGACCCCUGUGACCCUGAGGAGGCAGAGUUUUCAGAGCUGGACUUCCUAUACCGGGCCAGCCUCCAGCCAGGAUGUAGAAGUAGUAGCCCGGUCAGGAGGCUGCAGUGUGGGGUAG
This 1338-nucleotide long non-coding RNA is filed under the name Salmo trutta (river trout). RNAcentral's name for it is "lncRNA (ENSSTUG00000008346.1)". The record is from RNAcentral. Lineage: Eukaryota; Metazoa; Chordata; Actinopteri; Salmoniformes; Salmonidae.